AUCAGGUUAUUCGAAUAACUAAAUCAGAUAUUCGAAUAACUUAGCUUGCGGAAAUUCCAGUUUUUAAUACGAAAUAUUAGAUAGUCGACUAAGUUAUUAGUUAAUCGACUAACUUUGCUUGAAAAUAAAAAUUUCUUCGAAAUUUAAGCAUAUUGAAACAUUCUAAAGAACUAAUACUAACAUUUUAUCAUAAACUAACUAAUACGAGCUGAUAUUAAUGACUAUUAGAUUAUUCACUAACAAUUACAAAUAAGUGAAAUAAAAUCAAUUCCAUCUUCCUUCAUCACAGAUCCAUCACAAUUUAGGUGGUCAAUUUUCCCC
Molecule: long non-coding RNA, 321 nt
Filed under: Nicotiana benthamiana
Lineage: Eukaryota; Viridiplantae; Streptophyta; Magnoliopsida; Solanales; Solanaceae
Description: long non-coding RNA (NBEN_LNC030045)
Source: RNAcentral